AUUGAACGCUGGCGGCAGGCCUAACACAUGCAAGUCGAGCGGAUGAAGGGAGCUUGCUCCUGGAUUCAGCGGCGGACGGGUGAGUAAUGCCUAGGAAUCUGCCUGGUAGUGGGGGAUAACGUCCGGAAACGGGCGCUAAUACCGCAUACGUCCUGAUGGAGAAAGUGGGGGAUCUUCGGACCUCACGCUAUCAGAUGAGCCUAAGUCGGAUUAGCUAGUUGGUGGGGUAAAGGCCCACCAAGGCGACGAUCCGUAACUGGUCUGAGAGGCUGAUCAGUCACACUGGAACUGAGACACGGUCCAGACUCCUACGGGAGGCAGCAGUGGGGAAUAUUGGGCAAUGGGCGAAAGCCUGAUCCAGCCAUGCCGCGUGUGUGAAGAAGGUCUUCGGAUUGUAAAGCACUUUAAGUUGGGAGGAAGAGCAGUAAGUUAAUACCUUGCUGUUUUGACGUUACCAACAGAAAAAGCACCGGCUAACUUCGUG
Molecule: ribosomal RNA, 484 nt
Filed under: uncultured bacterium
Lineage: Bacteria
Description: partial 16S ribosomal RNA
Rfam family: Bacterial small subunit ribosomal RNA
Source: RNAcentral